GACGAACGCUGGCGGCGUGCUUAACACAUGCAAGUCGAACGGAAAGGCCCUGCUUUUGUGGGGUUCUCGAGUGGCGAACGGGUGAGUAACACGUGAGUAACCUGCCCUUGACUUUGGGAUAACUUCAGGAAACUGGGGCUAAUACCGGAUAGGAGCUCCUGCUGCAUGGUGGGGGUUGGAAAGUUUCGGCGGUUGGGGCUGGACUCGCGGCUUAUCAGCUGGUUGGGGGGGUUGUGGCUUACCAGGGCUUUGACGGGUAGCCUGCCUGAGAGGGUGACCGGCCACAUUGGGACUGCGGUAAGGCCCAGACGCCUACGGGAGGCAGCAGUGGGGAAUAUUGCACAAUGGGCGGAAGCCUGAUGCAGCAACGCCGCGUGCGGGAUAACGGCCUACGGGUUGUAAACCGCUUUCGCCUGUGACGAAGCGUGAGUGACGGUAAUGGGUAAAGAAGCACCGGCUAACUACGUG
This 468-nucleotide ribosomal RNA is filed under the name uncultured bacterium. RNAcentral's name for it is "partial 16S ribosomal RNA". It matches the Rfam family "Bacterial small subunit ribosomal RNA", at positions 28 to 507 of the family's 1533-position model. The record is from RNAcentral.